CUCUCGUAUCUGAGUCAGCAAAAAUUUCAGAACGCACAGAGGCCCAAAGGGAAAGACAAGGGGCGGCAUUCUCACAGGAUAAAAUUGAGUGGCGUUGUGGUGAUUGAGCAGGCAUGUGGAGAUAUUGCCGAUGUGGUGGCAUAACCCUGAUAUCCAGGAUCAGAUUGGCCUAGACAGCUUGUAGUGGUGAAGGAAAAAACAAACAAACAAUUGUCACAUCUACCUCCAGCCAAGAAACCCCCUGGUCUGCCACAGAGGAAUAAUGACCAGCAACCUAAUAAUCUCUCUGCUCUGUGCUAUGGACAUCCCCAGACAGACUAAGUCACUUGAAGGACACCCUCAGCAAAACCCCAUCCAACAAGCUGACACUAUACCAAACCUGGAUACCAAGGCCCAUGAAGCACUACAAAAAUUCCAAACCUGAGUGGUCCCAAGAUAUCAGAUAAAGUGAAUGUAGAACUACAAUGAUUAUGAUAAAAUAAUAAAUUAGUCCAAGGUAACAA
Molecule: long non-coding RNA, 503 nt
Organism: Scylla paramamosain (green mud crab)
Lineage: Eukaryota; Metazoa; Arthropoda; Malacostraca; Decapoda; Portunidae
Exons: 3
Source: RefSeq, a predicted model, not a curated record